RNAcentral lists this ribosomal RNA (1372 nucleotides) under uncultured bacterium. RNAcentral describes it as "bacterial SSU rRNA". It matches the Rfam family "Bacterial small subunit ribosomal RNA", at positions 28 to 1381 of the family's 1533-position model. The record is from RNAcentral.
GAUGAACGCUGGCGGCGUGCCUAAUACAUGCAAGUCGAGCGAACGGACGAGAAGCUUGCUUCUCUGAUGUUAGCGGCGGACGGGUGAGUAACACGUGGAUAACCUACCUAUAAGACUGGGAUAACUUCGAGAAACCGGAGCUAAUACCGGAUAAUAUUUUGAACCGCAUGGUUCAAAAGUGAAAGACGGUCUUGCUGUCACUUAUAGAUGGAUCCGCGCUGCAUUAGCUAGUUGGUAAGGUAACGGCUUACCAAGGCAACGAUGCAUAGCCGACCUGAGAGGGUGAUCGGCCACACUGGAACUGAGACACGGUCCAGACUCCUACGGGAGGCAGCAGUAGGGAAUCUUCCGCAAUGGGCGAAAGCCUGACGGAGCAACGCCGCGUGAGUGAUGAAGGUCUUCGGAUCGUAAAACUCUGUUAUUAGGGAAGAACAUAUGUGUAAGUAACUGUGCACAUCUUGACGGUACCUAAUCAGAAAGCCACGGCUAACUACGUGCCAGCAGCCGCGGUAGUACGUAGGUGGCAAGCGUUAUCCGGAAUUAUUGGGCGUAAAGCGCGCGUAGGCGGUUUUUUAAGUCUGAUGUGAAAGCCCACGGCUCAACCGUGGAGGGUCAUUGGAAGCUGGAAAACUUGAGUGCAGAAGAGGAAAGUGGAAUUCCAUGUGUAGCGGUGAAAUGCGCAGAGAUAUGGAGGAACACCAGUGGCGAAGGCGACUUUCUGGUCUGUAACUGACGCUGAUGUGCGAAAGCGUGGGGAUCAAACAGGAUUAGAUACCCUGGUAGUCCACGCCGUAAACGAUGAGUGCUAAGUGUUAGGGGGUUUCCGCCCCUUAGUGCUGCAGCUAACGCAUUAAGCACUCCGCCUGGGGAGUACGACCGCAAGGUUGAAACUCAAAGGAAUUGACGGGGACCCGCACAAGCGGUGGAGCAUGUGGUUUAAUUCGAAGCAACGCGAAGAACCUUACCAAAUCUUGACAUCCUUUGACAACUCUAGAGAUAGAGCUUUCCCCUUCGGGGGACAAAGUGACAGGUGGUGCAUGGUUGUCGUCAGCUCGUGUCGUGAGAUGUUGGGUUAAGUCCCGCAACGAGCGCAACCCUUAAGCUUAGUUGCCAUCAUUAAGUUGGGCACUCUAAGUUGACUGCCGGUGACAAACCGGAGGAAGGUGGGGAUGACGUCAAAUCAUCAUGCCCCUUAUGAUUUGGGCUACACACGUGCUACAAUGGACAAUACAAAGGGCAGCGAAACCGUGAGGUCAAGCAAAUCCCAUAAAGUUGUUCUCAGUUCGGAUUGUAGUCUGCAACUCGACUACAUGAAGCUGGAAUCGCUAGUAAUCGUAGAUCAGCAUGCUACGGUGAAUACGUUCCCGGGUCU